GCCUGGCUGGCUCAGUUGAUAGAGCAUGUGACUCUUGAUCUCAGGGUUGUGAGUUCAAGCCCCACAUUGGGCA
This 73-nucleotide transfer RNA is filed under the name Ursus americanus (American black bear). It matches the Rfam family "tRNA". Rfam says of the family: Transfer RNA (tRNA) molecules are approximately 80 nucleotides in length. Lineage: Eukaryota; Metazoa; Chordata; Mammalia; Carnivora; Ursidae. The record is from Rfam by way of RNAcentral. RNAcentral also lists the same sequence under 2 other names.